UUAAGGAUUUUGACCUAGCGACAGUGAAGGUGCGGCGAUAUAUUUCCAAGUCAGGAUGGUGAGUGGCUGAAGGGGUAUCUUGGAGUUGGUGGUGUUCCCAUGUGCUUGCUGCUCUUGUUCUUCAAGGUGGUGGAGUUGGUAGUUUUUGAGGUAUUGUGGAAGAACCCUUGGCCAGUUGCUGCACUGUGUCUCCUUGCAUUGAUGCUCAAAGCCAUGGGGACACCAGAGGCCAAUUCCCCUCCACAGCAAUCUCGUUGAUCCCUUAACCUCUCUCCUGCACUUUUUACAAGGCUGACAACAUUCGUGCCACAAUCUUGCCACGUCUUUUAGCACAUUUCCUUUCCACUUGGGAGAUAAGCAUGCUGAUUAAGGCAGCGGCUUGAGCUAUGCAUUGGGUAUGUGCAUACGUGUGUGGGGUGGGUUUGCUCAUGGUGGAGGAGGGUAACCAAGAGCUGGGCAUUUUUAUGACCUGCUUACUAUUAGUUUCAUUCUGUCAUGACUCUAAUACUUCACACAACAGGUCCAGUUGAGGAUUGUUUAGUGUUGGGUGCAGUGUACAUACACUCUUAAGUUGGGUAAUAUCUCAGGCUGGGAGUGCAAAAGGCAGAGGUGAUCACACAGACAUCAUGCUUGCUGCUUCACAGACUCUUCACUCCCCUCGAUCUUUAUCCACCCAUCCUGCUGCUGAAUGAGAGGGGAGUGCAUGCGGAUAGCGCAACAGACACUGACUGGCGCUUUUAUAGCGCGAAUAUUGAUAUAACCUCCUUAAUGAAGUUAGCAGUCAAUCGGAACAAGUUUUCACAAUUCAGCCUUACUUUACUACCAUGAGGCCCUUGACACUUGGGAUUAUUUGGGAGUGUCUCUGAAAUGGAUGUCCUUUCAUAUUGGAUGACUGUACGUGUUUUUUGCAUUUGCUUAUGGGAUGUGUCUAGCCCACAAUGUAUUGCCCAUCCCCAAUUGCCCUUGAUAAAGGGCAAAUUCCAAUUUCAUGGUUUGUCUCUCCACAUGUAGACCAGGCUGGUUUCUCAGCAUCAGCACGGCCCUAACAAUCUGCCCUUAAAACCUUUUGUGUACGUCACUUCAGGUUUUCUGCAAACAGGGGGCUGGAUUUCACCAGCGGUGAGCGGACUGCUUGCCCUGACUGCACCCCCCUCCCACCUCGGUGGACAGUAAGUCCCACCCUCGAGAAAAGCCGGCCCAUCUGAUUGAAUGGCAGCUCUAGCCAGACCUGUGCGAGCAGGCCCACGGAAGAAAUUCACGGCAACCGGACCCAGGUACCGUGAAAUCUCCCCCAGGCACUUCACAGGAAGCUUAUCAGACAGAACUUGACACGGAACCACAUCAAGGAAAGGGAGCGGGAGUAGGUGACAAGGUCCUUCAAGCACAUGCUCCAUGCAUAAAGGAGAAUGAAGCUGUGUGCCAGAAGGCAUUGUAAGAUCUAGGAGAAGUAUGAAAAGCCUCCAAUAUUUAUGCAUUAAACCUGCUAUAUACAGAAACCGAAACUGGGAAAAGCCACUUUGAUUCAACUGUCUAGGGUAUUGUGGUAACUUGCUGGCAUCUGUUCAAAAUCUAUUUUCUUUUAACUGUUGCCUUAAUAGGGGUGUAACUGGAAACCAGAUUAAUUAGGAGUUUUAAGAGUUAUUAUAGU
This is a long non-coding RNA of Carcharodon carcharias (great white shark), 1648 nucleotides long. RefSeq lists it as uncharacterized. NCBI's taxonomy places the organism in Eukaryota, Metazoa, Chordata, Chondrichthyes, Lamniformes, Lamnidae. The transcript has 3 exons. The record is from RefSeq and is a predicted model, not a curated record.